AAAAAAAAUGUGUUAUGGAUGGAAAAUAUAUAUUCAAAUUUCCUAAUUGUAAAUGUGUUGUGUUAAAGAAUAAAAGUUUAGUAUAAUGGAUAUCGGUAUCGUUAUACCAUAAUAGCAUCCUAUAAAGUUAUUACCGUUGGCGUAACAUACUUUGGUCUUGGUGUGGUCAUUUACAAGAAAGUGAAACGUUGGAAACUAAGUAAGAGAGUUUAAACUAUUUUCAAUAUUGCAAAAUAUUGAGAGAACUAUCUGCCCUUUCGCUGCCGAUUGUGUAAUAAUACAACUUAAUUAAUGAACGUGGUAGUGAGAUAAAUACACUAGCUGUGAUAAAGAGAA
Schizosaccharomyces pombe (fission yeast) is the source of this 336-nucleotide non-coding RNA. The record is from the annotation of a GenBank genome assembly. NCBI's taxonomy places the organism in Eukaryota, Fungi, Ascomycota, Schizosaccharomycetes, Schizosaccharomycetales, Schizosaccharomycetaceae.